RNAcentral lists this ribosomal RNA (229 nucleotides) under uncultured bacterium. RNAcentral's name for it is "partial 16S ribosomal RNA". It matches the Rfam family "Bacterial small subunit ribosomal RNA", at positions 568 to 796 of the family's 1533-position model. The record is from RNAcentral.
UGCGUAGGCGGACUAGUAAGUCAGUGGUGAAAUCCCGAGGCUCAACUUCGGAACUGCCAUUGAUACUACAGGUCUUGAAUACGGUUGAGGUAGGCGGAAUGUAGCAUGUAGCGGUGAAAUGCAUAGAUAUGCUACAGAACACCGAUCGCGAAGGCAGCUUACCAAGCCGAUAUUGACGCUCAGGCACGAAAGCGUGGGGAGCGAACAGGAUUAGAUACCCUGGUAGUCC